RNAcentral lists this ribosomal RNA (465 nucleotides) under uncultured bacterium. RNAcentral describes it as "partial 16S ribosomal RNA". It matches the Rfam family "Bacterial small subunit ribosomal RNA", at positions 28 to 507 of the family's 1533-position model. The record is from RNAcentral.
GACGAACGCUGGCGGCGUGCUUAACACAUGCAAGUCGAACGGAAAGGCCCUGCUUGCAGGGUACUCGAGUGGCGAACGGGUGAGUAACACGUGGGUGAUCUGCCCUGCACUUCGGGAUAAGCUUGGGAAACUGGGUCUAAUACCGGAUAGGAGCCAUCUUUAGUGUGGUGGUUGGAAAGUUUUUUCGGUGUAGGAUGAGCUCGCGGCCUAUCAGCUUGUUGGUGGGGUAAUGGCCUACCAAGGCGGCGACGGGUAGCCGGCCUGAGAGGGUGUACGGCCACAUUGGGACUGAGAUACGGCCCAGACUCCUAAGGGAGGCAGCAGUGGGGAAUAUUGCACAAUGGGCGCAAGCCUGAUGCAGCAACGCCGCGUGGGGGAUGAAGGCCUUCGGGUUGUAAACUCCUUUCGCUAGGGACGAAGCUUUUUGUGACGGUACCUAGAUAAGAAGCACCGGCUAACUACGUG